Molecule: ribosomal RNA, 253 nt
Filed under: uncultured bacterium
Lineage: Bacteria
Description: partial 16S ribosomal RNA
Rfam family: Bacterial small subunit ribosomal RNA
Source: RNAcentral
UACGUAGGGUGCAAGCGUUGUCCGGAAUUAUUGGGCGUAAAGAGCUCGUAGGCGGUUUGUUGCGUCGGCUGUGAAAAACGCGAGGCUCAACCUCGCGCCUGCAGUGGGUACGGGCAGACUAGAGUGCGGUAGGGGAGAUUGGAAUUUCCUGGUGUAGCGGUGGAAUGCGCAGAUAUCAGGAGGAACACCGAUGGCGCAAGCGACUUGCUGGCUGUAACUGAGCUGAGGAGCGAAAGCGUGGGGAGCGAACAGG